RNAcentral lists this ribosomal RNA (277 nucleotides) under uncultured prokaryote. RNAcentral describes it as "partial 16S ribosomal RNA". It matches the Rfam family "Bacterial small subunit ribosomal RNA", at positions 524 to 800 of the family's 1533-position model. The record is from RNAcentral.
UACGGAGGAUCCGAGCGUUAUCCGGAUUUAUUGGGUUUAAAGGGUGCGCAGGCGGGGGAUUAAGUCGGCGGUGAAAUUUUGCAGCUCAACUGUAAAAGUGCCUUCGAAACUGGUUUCCUUGAGUAUAGAUGAAGUAGGCGGAAUUUGUGGUGUAGCGGUAAAAUGCAUAGAUAUCACGAGGAACUCCGAUUGCGCAGGCAGCUUACUAAACUACUACUGACGCUCAGGCACGAAGGCGUGGGGAUCAAACAGGAUUAGAUACCCGGGUAGUCCCUGA